GUCUCCACUAUGUUGUCAUGACUCCAGUCUGUCGGCCUCCACUAUGUUGUCAUGUCUCCAGUCUGUAGGCCUCCACUACGUUGUCAUAUCUCCAGUCUAGUGGUCUCCAGUCUGUAGGCCUCCACUAUGAUGUCAUGUCCCCAGUCCGUAGUCCUCCACUAUAAUGUAAUGUCCCCAGUCCGUCGUCCUCCACUAUGAUGUAAUGCCUCCAGUCUGUAGGCCUCCACUAUAAUGUCAUGUCCACAGUCGGUAGGCCUCCACUAUGAUGUCAUGUCCCCAGUCCGUAGUCCUCAUCUAUAAUGUCAUGUCCCCAGUCGGUAGGCCUCCACUAUAAUGUCAUGUCCCCAGUCCGUAGUCCUCCACUAUGAUGUAAUGUUUCCAGUCUGUAGGCCUCCACUAUGAUUUAAUGUCUCCAGUUUGUAGCCCUCUACCGUGAUGUCAUGUCUCCAGUCUCUAGGCCUUGACUAUGUUGUAUUGUCUCCAGUUUGUAGCCCUCUACCGUGAUGUCAUGCCUCCAGUCUGUAGGCCUCCACUAUGUUGUCAUGACUCCAGUCUGUAGGCCUCCACUAUGUUGUCAUGUCUCCAGUCUGUAGGCCUCGAAUAUGAUGUAAUGCCUCCAGUCUGUAGGUCUCCACUAUGUUGUAAUGUCUCCAGUCUGUAGGCCUCCACUAUGUUGUCAUAUCCCCAGUCUGCAGGCCUCCACUAUGUUGUCAUGUCUCCAGUCUGUAGGCCUCCACUACGUUGUCAUAUCUCCAGUCUAGUGGUCUCCAGUCUGUAGGCCUCCACUAUGAUGUCAUGUCCCCAGUCCGUAGUCCUCCACUAUAAUGUAAUGUCCCCAGUCCGUCGUCCUCCACUAUGAUGUAAUGCCUCCAGUCUGUAGGCCUCCACUAUGUUGUCAUAUCCCCAGUCUGCAGGCCUCCACUAUGUUGUCAUGACUCCAGUCUGUAGGUCUCCACUAUGUUGUAAUGUCUCCAGUCUGUAGGCC
RNAcentral lists this long non-coding RNA (985 nucleotides) under Salmo salar (Atlantic salmon). Its description in RNAcentral is "lncRNA (ENSSSAG00000096447.1)". Lineage: Eukaryota; Metazoa; Chordata; Actinopteri; Salmoniformes; Salmonidae. The record is from RNAcentral.